Molecule: ribosomal RNA, 429 nt
Filed under: Chloroflexota bacterium
Lineage: Bacteria; Bacillati; Chloroflexota
Description: Chloroflexi bacterium partial 16S ribosomal RNA
Rfam family: Bacterial small subunit ribosomal RNA
Source: RNAcentral
UGGGGAAUAUUGCACAAUGGGCGCAAGCCUGAUGCAGCCAUGCCGCGUGUAUGAAGAAGGCCUUCGGGUUGUAAAGUACUUUCAGCGGGGAGGAAGGGAGUAAAGUUAAUACCUUUGCUCAUUGACGUUACCCGCAGAAGAAGCACCGGCUAACUCCGUGCCAGCAGCCGCGGUAAUACGGAGGGUGCAAGCGUUAAUCGGAAUUACUGGGCGUAAAGCGCCCGCAGGCGGUUUGUUAAGUCAGAUGUGAAAUCCCCGGGCUCAACCUGGGAACUGCAUCUGAUACUGGCAAGCUUGAGUCUCGUAGAGGGGGGUAGAAUUCCAGGUGUAGCGGUGAAAUGCGUAGAGAUCUGGAGGAAUACCGGUGGCGAAGGCGGCCCCCUGGACGAAGACUGACGCUCAGGUGCGAAAGCGUGGGGAGCAAACAGG